Non-coding RNA from Mycena rosella, 89 nucleotides. The record is from the annotation of a GenBank genome assembly. Lineage: Eukaryota; Fungi; Basidiomycota; Agaricomycetes; Agaricales; Mycenaceae.
UCGGGUGUGGUGCACGGUGCACGGCGGCUAAUAGUAAUUUCGGCAGUAGAUGUAGGCCGCAGACCGGGGUUCGACUCCCCGCGCCCGAA